RNAcentral lists this ribosomal RNA (497 nucleotides) under uncultured bacterium. Its description in RNAcentral is "partial 16S ribosomal RNA". It matches the Rfam family "Bacterial small subunit ribosomal RNA", at positions 28 to 507 of the family's 1533-position model. The record is from RNAcentral.
GAUGAACGCUGGCGGCGUGCCUAAUACAUGCAAGUCGAGCGAACGGACGAGAAGCUUGCUUCUCCGAUGUUAGCGGCGGACGGGUGAGUAACACGUGGAUAACCUACCUAUAAGACUGGGAUAACUUCGGGAAACCGGAGCUAAUACCGGAUGAUAUUUUGAACCGCAUGGUUCAAAAGUGAAAGACGGUCUUGCUGUCACUUAUAGAUGGAUCUGCGCUGCAUUAGCUAGUUGGUAAGGUAACGGCUUACCAAGGCAACGAUGCAUAGCCGACCUGAGAGGGUGAUCGGCCACACUGGAACUGAGACACGGUCCAGACUCCUACGGGAGGCAGCAGUAGGGAAUCUUCCGCAAUGGGCGAAAGCCUGACGGAGCAACGCCGCGUGAGUGAUGAAGGUCUUCGGAUCGUAAAACUCUGUUAUUAGGGAAGAACAUAUGUGUAAGUAACUGUGCACAUCUUGACGGUACCUAAUCAGAAAGCCACGGCUAACUACGUG